This 253-nucleotide ribosomal RNA is filed under the name uncultured bacterium. RNAcentral's name for it is "partial 16S ribosomal RNA". It matches the Rfam family "Bacterial small subunit ribosomal RNA", at positions 524 to 776 of the family's 1533-position model. The record is from RNAcentral.
UACGAAGGGGGCUAGCGUUGCUCGGAAUCACUGGGCGUAAAGCGCACGUAGGCGGACUCUUAAGUCGGUGGUGAAAUCCUGGAGCUCAACUCCAGAACUGCCUUCGAUACUGAGAGUCUCGAGUCCGGGAGAGGUGAGUGGAACUGCGAGUGUAGAGGUGAAAUUCGUAGAUAUUCGGAAGAACACCAGUGGCGAAGGCGGCUCACUGGACCGUUGUUGACGCUGAGGUGCGAAAGCGUGGGGAGCAAACAGG